RNAcentral lists this ribosomal RNA (167 nucleotides) under uncultured bacterium. RNAcentral's name for it is "partial 16S ribosomal RNA". It matches the Rfam family "Bacterial small subunit ribosomal RNA", at positions 1325 to 1500 of the family's 1533-position model. The record is from RNAcentral.
GCUGGAAUCGCUAGUAAUCGCGAAUCAGAAUGUCGCGGUGAAUACGUUCCUGGGCCUUGUACACACCGCCCGUCAAGCCAUGGAAGCCGGGAGUGCCUGAAGUGCGUGAGCGCAAGCAGCGCCCUAAGGUAAAACCGGUGACUGGGGCUAAGUCGUAACAAGGUAAC